Long non-coding RNA from Galeopterus variegatus (Sunda flying lemur), 374 nucleotides. RefSeq lists it as uncharacterized. The transcript is spliced from 3 exons. The record is from RefSeq and is a predicted model, not a curated record. Lineage: Eukaryota; Metazoa; Chordata; Mammalia; Dermoptera; Cynocephalidae.
GUAUCGGUGGAAAUCUUAAGACCAAAGAAUUGAUGAAUAUACUACAAUUAAGCUUUCAUUGUGAAUUGAAGAAUGCAGCAAAGGAUAAUGAACAUACUGAAAUGAUUCCACAUGUUUUAUGCAUCACAUAUUUGUAAUUAAAACAGAUCCUGAAGACAGAAAUAUGUGAUAUGUACUUGUCUAUCUCAUUGGCUGGUGUAGCCCCUGUGCCCAGAAAAGCAUCUAGGAGGUGUUCAGCAAACACUUUAAUGGAGAACAGAGGAACCUCAAAAGCAGAAGCUUUCAGUUGGAGAAUGUGUCAGAGCUUCCCACUCUACUUAUGCCUCAUGAUGUGGCACCUGGGGGUGGAGUGUUCCAGGUGUGCUCUGGCCCUC